AUUGAACGCUGGCGGAAUGCUUUACACAUGCAAGUCGAGCGGCAGCGCGGGGCAACCUGGCGGCGAGCGGCGAACGGGUGAGUAACACAUCGGAACGUGCCCAGACGUGGGGGAUAGCCCGGCGAAAGCCGGAUUAAUACCGCAUGUGAUCUGAGGAUGAAAGUGGGGGACCGCAAGGCCUCACGCGUUUGGAGCGGCCGAUGGCAGAUUAGGUAGUUGGUGGGGUAAAGGCUUACCAAGCCUGCGAUCUGUAGCUGGUCUGAGAGGAUGAUCAGCCACACUGGGACUGAGACACGGCCCAGACUCCUACGGGAGGCAGCAGUGGGGAAUUUUGGACAAUGGGCGCAAGCCUGAUCCAGCCAUUCCGCGUGCAGGACGAAGGCCUUCGGGUUGUAAACUGCUUUGUACGGAACGAAAGGGCUCUCUCUAAUACAGGGGGCAUAUGACGGUACCGUAAGAAUAAGCACCGGCUAACUACGUGCCAGCA
This 487-nucleotide ribosomal RNA is filed under the name uncultured bacterium. RNAcentral's name for it is "bacterial SSU rRNA". It matches the Rfam family "Bacterial small subunit ribosomal RNA", at positions 29 to 513 of the family's 1533-position model. The record is from RNAcentral.